AGUCGAACGGCAGCACGGGAGCAGUCCUGGUGGCGAGUGGCGAACGGGUGUGUAAUAUAUCGGAACGUGCCCAGUCGUGGGGGAUAACGCAGCGAAAGCUGUGCUAAUACCGCAUACGAUCUCUGGAUGAAAGCGGGGGACUCGUAAGAGCCUCGCGCGAUUGGAGCGGCCGAUAUCAGAUUAGCUAGUUGGUGGGGUAAAGGCCCACCAAGGCGACGAUCUGUAGCUGGUCUGAGAGGACGACCAGCCACACUGGAACUGAGACACGGUCCAGACUCCUACGGGAGGCAGCAGUGGGGAAUUUUGGACAAUGGGCGCAAGCCCGAUCCAGCAAUGCCGCGUGCAGGAUGAAGGCCUUCGGGUUGUAAACUGCUUUUGUACGGAACGAAAAGGUUUGCCUUAAUACGGUGGGCCCAUGACGGUACCGUAAGAAUAAGCACCGGCUAACUACGUGCCAGCAGCCGCGGUAAUACGUAGGGUGCGAGCGUUAAUCGGAAUUACUGGGCGUAAAGCGUGCGCAGGCGGUUAUAUAAGACAGAUGUNGAAUCCCCGGGCUCAACCUGGGACCUGCAUUUGUGACUGUAUAGCUAGAGUACGGU
RNAcentral lists this ribosomal RNA (599 nucleotides) under uncultured bacterium. RNAcentral's name for it is "bacterial SSU rRNA". It matches the Rfam family "Bacterial small subunit ribosomal RNA", at positions 60 to 652 of the family's 1533-position model. The record is from RNAcentral.